Molecule: small nuclear RNA, 118 nt
Organism: Malassezia restricta
Lineage: Eukaryota; Fungi; Basidiomycota; Malasseziomycetes; Malasseziales; Malasseziaceae
Source: RefSeq, a predicted model, not a curated record
UGCUGCUGUGGAACCCUCUCCAAUUACUUGAACCUCGCCUUUUACUAGAUUCAACCGGGUUGGUUCCACAUUUAGAGCAGCAUGACACACUUUUUUGCACUGGUUUCCUUCGAAAUCA